This 464-nucleotide ribosomal RNA is filed under the name uncultured bacterium. RNAcentral describes it as "bacterial SSU rRNA". It matches the Rfam family "Bacterial small subunit ribosomal RNA", at positions 28 to 524 of the family's 1533-position model. The record is from RNAcentral.
GAUGAACGCUAGCGAGACGCUUAACACAUGCAAGUCGAAUGUUGCAGUAAUGCGACAUGGCAGACGGGUGAGUAACACGUGCUUAAUUUACCCCGGAGUGGGGGACAACAUCGGAAACGGUGAUAAUCCCGCAUGCGUUCCAUUAAAUGAAAAUAUAUGGAAGAAAGAUUUAUCGCUCUGGGAGAAGGGCGCGGCUGACUAGUUAGUUGGUGAGGUAAUGGCUCACCAAGGCGACGAUCAGUAGCUGGUUUGAGAGAAUGACCAGCCACACUGGGACUGAGACACGGCCCAGACUCCUACGGGAGGCAGCAGUGGGGAAUAUUGGACAAUGGGCGCAAGCCUGAUCCAGCCAUGCCGCGUGAGUGAUGAAGGCCUUAGGGUUGUAAAGCUCUUUUAGCAGAGACGAUAAUGACGGUACCUGCAGAAAAAGCCCCGGCCAACUUCGUGCCAGCAGCCGCGGUAAU